Molecule: ribosomal RNA, 253 nt
Filed under: uncultured bacterium
Lineage: Bacteria
Description: partial 16S ribosomal RNA
Rfam family: Bacterial small subunit ribosomal RNA
Source: RNAcentral
CACGUAGGGGGCAAGCGUUGUCCGGAUUUAUUGGGCGUAAAGAGCGUGUAGGCGGCCAGGUAGGUCUGCUGUGAAAACUCGAGGCUCAACCUCGAGACGCCGGCGGAAACCAUCUGGCUAGAGUCCGGAAGAGGAGAGUGGAAUUCCUGGUGUAGCGGUGAAAUGCGCAGAUAUCAGGAAGAACACCCGUGGCGAAGGCGGCUCUCUGGGACGGUACUGACGCUGAGACGCGAAAGCGUGGGGAGCGAACAGG